Molecule: ribosomal RNA, 355 nt
Filed under: uncultured Methylocystaceae bacterium
Lineage: Bacteria; Pseudomonadati; Pseudomonadota; Alphaproteobacteria; Hyphomicrobiales; Methylocystaceae
Description: bacterial SSU rRNA
Rfam family: Bacterial small subunit ribosomal RNA
Source: RNAcentral
UCAGUCAACAGAGCUCCUUCGGGUGUGGAAGUGGAGACGGGUGAAGUACGCGUGGGAACGUGCCUUUCGGUUCGGAAUACUAGGGAAACUUGGGCUAUACCGGAUCGCCCUUCGGGGGAAAGAUUAUCGCCGAAAGAUCGGCCCGCGUCAGAUUAGCUAGUUGGUGGGGUAUGGCUCACCAAGGCGACGAUCUGUAGCUGGUCUGAGAGGAUGAUCAGCCACACUGGGACUGAGACACGGCCCAGACUCCUACGGGAGGCAGCAGUGGGGAAUAUUGGACAAUGGGCGAAAGCCUGAUCCAGCCAUGCCGCGUGGGUGAAGAAGGCCCUAGGGUUGUAACCCCUUUAGCGGGGAG